UGGCGGACGGGUGAGUAAUGUCUGGGAAACUGCCUGAUGGAGGGGGGUAACUACUGGAAACGGUAGCUAAUACCGCAUAACGUCGCAAGACCAAAGAGGGGGACCUUCGGGCCUCUUGCCAUCGGAUGUGCCCAGAUGGGGUUAGCUAGUAGGUGGGGUAACGGCUCACCUAGGCGACGAUCCCUAGCUGGUCUGAGGGGAUGACCAGCCACACUGGAACUGAGACACGGUCCAG
RNAcentral lists this ribosomal RNA (235 nucleotides) under uncultured bacterium. RNAcentral's name for it is "partial 16S ribosomal RNA". It matches the Rfam family "Bacterial small subunit ribosomal RNA", at positions 96 to 334 of the family's 1533-position model. The record is from RNAcentral.